Molecule: ribosomal RNA, 492 nt
Filed under: uncultured bacterium
Lineage: Bacteria
Description: partial 16S ribosomal RNA
Rfam family: Bacterial small subunit ribosomal RNA
Source: RNAcentral
AUUGAACGCUGGCGGCAUGCUUUACACAUGCAAGUCGAACGGUAACAGGCCUUCGGGUGCUGACGGGUGGCGAACGGGUGAGUAAUGCAUCGGAACGUGCCCAGAGGUGGGGGAUAACGCAGCGAAAGCUGUGCUAAUACCGCAUGUGAUCUGAGGAUGAAAGCGGGGGACCAAGCAGCAAUGUUUGGCCUCGCGCCUCUGGAGCGGCCGAUGUCAGAUUAGGUAGUUGGUGGGGUAAAGGCCUACCAAGCCGACGAUCUGUAGCUGGUCUGAGAGGACGACCAGCCACACUGGGACUGAGACACGGCCCAGACUCCUACGGGAGGCAGCAGUGGGGAAUUUUGGACAAUGGGCGCAAGCCUGAUCCAGCAAUGCCGCGUGCGGGAAGAAGGCCUUCGGGUUGUAAACCGCUUUUGUACGGAACGAAAAGGCUCUGGCUAAUACCUGGGGCUGAUGACGGUACCGUAAGAAUAAGCACCGGCUAACUACGUG